UGGGAGAUCUGCGGCGUACGAAAAGAAACGCGAAAGUGUACGCAGCCAUUCAAGAGGAGCUGCGCGCGGAAGGCAUAGACAAACCCCUAAAGACUAUAAAGUCGAAGAUAGAGAACUUGGGCAACAAAUACAGAGACCUGUGCAAGAAGAGGUGUACAGGACAGGGUGCCAUCUCCUGGAAGUAUUUUUGGGAGCUGCACGAGUUCCUUGCUGCACUCCCAGUGAAUGACAAGUCACUGACGGAUGACAUUGGCUGCAGCAGUGCAACUGUUGAAGACCUCGUUCACGAGAUGGUGCAUGGCACAGAUUCCCACUGUGAAGACGCUGUGCUGGACCAAGAUGUCACUAGCCGUCCACCAUCGCCACACACAUCGGAACACGGCGACGACGCUGUUGUUCCGACAGCCGAACCAGAUGUGUCGGCUUCGCCAGCUGCAUCUGGCAUUGGCAGGAGAAUGCCAGUGGGCAAAAAAACGCAGAGGGAAUCCCUGCUUGCACAGAUGGUUGAAGAACAACGAAAAAUAAGAAUUUCUUAUGAGAAAUCAAAAGAAAAAGAAAAUUCCUAUCGGGAACGAAUGUUCGUGCUUCACGAGAAGGCUGCUGAGCGCGAGGAAAGAUUAAUUGCGGUCUUGGCAGACUUGGGAAAAAAAUAAACACAUUCUCAGCCACACCACUUUCUUGUGUUAUUCUUUUGCAGGAAACAUGUAAUUACAGCACAAAACUAGCUGUAUUUCAUGCAGCAGAUCUCAACAUGCUAUAUGUUCGUCAACUGUUUGCACUCUCUGCUGCAGCUUGCCCGUCCUGCAAACUUUUAGCUUUAAUGUCACUGAUAUAGCCUGUAGACCCAGUGGCCCACCAUAACAUACAACAGCCAUACAGACAGCAUGAUUGUGACAAUUGCAAGUUAAAAACUGCUUUGCUAUGGAUGGCCCCAGACACAGGAAACACUGAAAAAAAUUAAACUGAUAGGACACAUUCAAGGUUAGAUGCGCUUGGCGUCUUUAUGAAUGUCAGAAACAGGCAACGGCCAAGCGGAGCGAGUGCGAGCACCAACAACCAGAAGCAUCUUCGUCUUCUGCUGGCGCCCGUAUCUGUCACUACAAUCACUCCUCGGCGAAAAAGGAGCAAUCCUGGCGACCUAUGGGACAGGCAGUACUGGUGGGUCGUAGUGCGGCUUCAGUCGGUCGACAUGAACA
Long non-coding RNA from Dermacentor silvarum, 1196 nucleotides. RefSeq lists it as uncharacterized. The transcript is spliced from 3 exons. NCBI's taxonomy places the organism in Eukaryota, Metazoa, Arthropoda, Arachnida, Ixodida, Ixodidae. The record is from RefSeq and is a predicted model, not a curated record.